CUUUUUCCUCUUCACGCAGGUCUCCCACCCAUGUCCAAACUGAUGCCUUCCUGUUCUUCCCUUUCUUCUUCUCCUUCUAUUUGUUCCUUUUCUCUCAUUUUCCACACAUACUGAGAUUUUUAUCCAAUUUUUUUUUUCAUACUUUUCUUUAUUUUCAUUUUCACCUCCUCCUUUCUUUUCUCCAGUCACAUAUGCCCCAAAUCCGAUUAGAUCCGUUCACCCACAACCGUUUCCGGUAAGGUCCAGUCACCCACGACCAUCAUCAGCGCAGAUCCGGCCAUGAAAUUUAUCAUCAACGCAGAUCCGGCCAUGAAAUUUUUUUAUAGCUAAAACCCGGUUCUUGGACCGGUUUCCGGGUUUUCCGGUUCAUACCGGUACCCGAAUUUCGGUAAUUGACCCGGUUUUUUGGCGAUUUUGGAGUUUCACCGCUAACCGGACCGGACAUGGCGACGGUUCGCGGUUAAACCGGUCGGACCGGCCGGUCCGGUCGGUUUUCAAAACAUUGAUUUUUAUUGUGGUUUCUUCAUAUACUUUACUUUUAAGAAAGAAAAAUAUUUUUUUUUGGAUUUUUGUGCAUAAGUCCCCAACCAAGCAUCUUUAUUAUUCUAGGUUUAUGUACUAUAUCGAUUUCACCAGUAAGUUCAUCCCUUCAAUAUUUAUUAUAAAUAAAUGAAACAUUAUGUAUAUGACAAUACUACCCCCAACCCUUUAUAUCCAAUUCUUAAUUGUAACCCCCAAGUGAAUCAAUUUUGUCCACAAAAUUUUAAUUUUGAUCACAAAAAUCCAAUUUUGA
This 793-nucleotide long non-coding RNA is filed under the name Erythranthe guttata (spotted monkey flower). RNAcentral describes it as "long non-coding RNA (EGUT_LNC003757)". Lineage: Eukaryota; Viridiplantae; Streptophyta; Magnoliopsida; Lamiales; Phrymaceae. The record is from RNAcentral.